RNAcentral lists this ribosomal RNA (427 nucleotides) under uncultured soil bacterium. Its description in RNAcentral is "bacterial SSU rRNA". It matches the Rfam family "Bacterial small subunit ribosomal RNA", at positions 26 to 457 of the family's 1533-position model. The record is from RNAcentral.
AGCCUGAACGCUGGCGGCGUGGCUAAGACAUGCAAGUCGAACGGGACCCGCAAGGGUUCAGUGGCGGACGGGUGAGUAAUGUAUCGCUAAUGUGCCCCCGGAAUCUGAGAUAGCUAGCCGAAAGGCUAGGUAAUACCAGAUGAUAUACCUUGAAGGCAUCUUCGAGGUCUCAAAGGAGUAAUCCGGUCUGGGAGCAGGCGAUAUCGUAUCAGCUAGUUGGUGAGGUAACGGCUCACCAAGGCGACGACGCGUAGCCGGGCUGAGUGGUUGGCCGGCCACAUUGGGACUGAGACACUGCCCAGACUCCGUACGGGGGGCUGCAGUAACGAAUCUUACACAAUGCACGAAAGUGUGAUGGAGCGACGCCGCGUGAGGAUGUAGUCCGUUACGGAUAGUAAACUACUGUACGAGGGAAAGAAGUUCGUAG